RNAcentral lists this long non-coding RNA (618 nucleotides) under Chinchilla lanigera (long-tailed chinchilla). RNAcentral's name for it is "lncRNA (ENSCLAG00000026461.1)". The record is from RNAcentral. Lineage: Eukaryota; Metazoa; Chordata; Mammalia; Rodentia; Chinchillidae.
CACAGCCAGCCAGACAGAAGGCUACCGCCCUCUAGCAGCCUUGCAGUUAACACUCUCCUUGCCCAGCCCUUGCAAGGAGGCCUCUCUCGUGGCCUCUCCACAGCCACAGCAGGCCUCUUUCAUCGGCACCCUUUUGGAGACAACCCUGACCUGUCCUUUCCGGGGCACUGUCCAGGUUUCAUUACAGAGCCCCCCAGUGACUGCUUCGGAGCCUUGCCUUCCACUAUUUGAUUCUGAUUCUCUGGAGAACUCUAACAGACAGAAGUUAGGAGGAACAAUGACACACAGGAAGAACAGUGACACAUGUGUAGAGCCCUGUGUGUUCCCGGGAGCCACUCCGCCUGGUGAUGUGAGAUUCCCUCUGGCAAGGAGGAUGUCGGGGCGCAUCUGUGCGGCGUCAGGCAAUGACACAUUGGCAUGAAAGAAGUGUUCUGAUGAUGCAGAUGCUGCUGGCUUCAACGGUCCACUGCCUCUGGCAUCAGUUCAUACUUCAAAUCAGAUUGUGCAACCCUUCAUUUAUUUAUUUAUAGUCACUAAAUGUUAAUUUUGAGAAACAUACAAUAAAGAAGAAAAUGCAAGGCACUCAUAAUUUUGCAAUUCUCUUUCUUCCAAAAUGCC